UUUGGCUUGUCCGGAAGAGGUUCCACCUCUGGCUUGGCCUCCUCCUCGACUAGUUUUUCCUCGUACACAGUGGUCACCUCGGUCACCUCGGUUACGAUCUCCUCCUUUAAGAUUGACUCCGGAAAAACCGGUGGUACCUACUGGGAUCUUGUACGGAACGAUGUUCUCCUCGGACAGCGCCUCCACAGCCUUGAGGGAAUCUUCUUCUCUGCGCAACAACCGUGCCGAUUAAUGGUUCUGGACCGACUUUGUGAUCCGCGUCGCGGUUUUCCGCGAGCUCGGAACGAAAACGGUUCUCGUCCGACUCUUUUUAACUCUUUUCACGAAAGGCCAGCGCCUCCGAGCCGGUCCACGCGCGAAAGGGUCAUGUAACUGUCUUGAAACAAGUAUGAACCAAUUAACAUCGCUUGUACGAAGUGGGAAAGAUCCAAGAGGAGGCAGGUAAUUUCUUCGCUUAUCUCAGUCGAACGACGCUAACUUACCUCAGGACACCCAGAACGAAAUUAUUCCCCGCUCUCAUUAGUUCUUCGUGUGCCUGACCGUGGGUCAGGCUGCUGAUGGGCUGAUCGUUUAAUCUCACC
This is a long non-coding RNA of Hylaeus anthracinus, 581 nucleotides long. RefSeq lists it as uncharacterized. The record is from RefSeq and is a predicted model, not a curated record. The transcript is spliced from 4 exons. Lineage: Eukaryota; Metazoa; Arthropoda; Insecta; Hymenoptera; Colletidae.